ACACUCCUACGGGAGGCAGCAGUGGGGAAUUUUGGACAAUGGGCGAAAGCCUGAUCCAGUCAUGCCGCGUGCAGGAUGAAGGCCUUCGGGUUGUAAACUGCUUUUGUACGGAACGAAACGGCCUUUUCUAAUAAAGAGGGCUAAUGACGGUACCGUAAGAAUAAGCACCGGCUAACUACGUGCCAGCAGCCGCGGUAAUACGUAGGGUGCAAGCGUUAAUCGGAAUUACUGGGCGUAAAGCGUGCGCAGGCGGUUAUGUAAGACAGUUGUGAAAUCCCCGGGCUCAACCUGGGAACUGCAUCUGUGACUGCAUAGCUAGAGUACGGUAGAGGGGGAUGGAAUUCCGCGUGUAGCAGUGAAAUGCGUAGAUAUGCGGAGGAACACCGAUGGCGAAGGCAAUCCCCUGGACCUGUACUGACGCUCAUGCACGAAAGCGUGGGGAGCAAACAGGAUUAGAAACCCCAGUAGUCCCA
RNAcentral lists this ribosomal RNA (473 nucleotides) under uncultured organism. Its description in RNAcentral is "partial 16S ribosomal RNA". It matches the Rfam family "Bacterial small subunit ribosomal RNA", at positions 333 to 797 of the family's 1533-position model. The record is from RNAcentral.